GAAAACCGCAUGGUUUUCUUUUAAAAGAUGGCUCUGCUAUCACUUCUGGAUGGACCCGCGGCGUAUUAGCUAGUUGGUGAGGUAAAGGCUCACCAAGGCAGUGAUACGUAGCCGACCUGAGAGGGUAAUCGGCCACAUUGGGACUGAGACACGGCCCAGACUCCUACGGGAGGCAGCAGUAGGGAAUCUUCCACAAUGGACGCAAGUCUGAUGGAGCAACGCCGCGUGAGUGAAGAAGGGUUUCGGCUCGUAAAGCUCUGUUGUUAAAGAAGAACGUGGGUAAGAGUAACUGUUUACCCAGUGACGGUAUUUAACCAGAAAGCCACGGCUAACUACGUGCCAGCAGCCGCGGUAAUACGUAGGUGGCAAGCGUUAUCCGGAUUUAUUGGGCGUAAAGCGAGCGCAGGCGGUCUUUUAAGUCUAAUGUGAAAGCCUUCGGCUCAACCGAAGAAGUGCAUUGGAAACUGGGAGACUUGAGUGCAGAAGAGGACAGUGGAACUCCAUGUGUAGCGGUGAAAUGCGUAGAUAUAUGGAAGAACACCAGUGGCGAAGGCGGCUGUCUGGUCUGCAACUGACGCUGAGGCUCGAAAGCAUGGGUAGCGAACAGGAUUAGAUACCCUGGUAGUCCAUGCCGUAAACGAUGAUUACUAAGUGUUGGAGGGUUUCCGCCCUUCAGUGCUGCAGCUAACGCAUUAAGUAAUCCGCCUGGGGAGUACGACCGCAAGGUUGAAACUCAAAAGAAUUGACGGGGGCCCGCACAAGCGGUGGAGCAUGUGGUUUAAUUCGAAGCUACGCGAAGAACCUUACCAGGUCUUGACAUCUUCUGACAGUCUAAGAGAUUAGAGGUUCCCUUCGGGGACAGAAUGACAGGUGGUGCAUGGUUGUCGUCAGCUCGUGUCGUGAGAUGUUGGGUUAAGUCCCGCAACGAGCGCAACCCUUAUUACUAGUUGCCAGCAUUAAGUUGGGCACUCUAGUGAGACUGCCGGUGACAAACCGGAGGAAGGUGGGGACGACGUCAAAUCAUCAUGCCCCUUAUGACCUGGGCUACACACGUGCUACAAUGGAUGGUACAACGAGUCGCGAGACCGCGAGGUUAAGCUAAUCUCUUAAAACCAUUCUCAGUUCGGACUGUAGGCUGCAACUCGCCUACACGAAGUCGGAAUCGCUAGUAAUCGCGGAUCAGCAUGCCGCGGUGAAUACGUUCCCGGGCCUUGUACACACCGCCCGUCACACCAUGAGAGUUUGUAACACCCAAAGCCGGUGGGGUAACCUUUUAGGAGCUAGCCG
RNAcentral lists this ribosomal RNA (1287 nucleotides) under Pediococcus sp. enrichment culture clone 50. Its description in RNAcentral is "bacterial SSU rRNA". It matches the Rfam family "Bacterial small subunit ribosomal RNA", at positions 181 to 1455 of the family's 1533-position model. Lineage: Bacteria; Bacillati; Bacillota; Bacilli; Lactobacillales; Lactobacillaceae. The record is from RNAcentral.